CCUAGUUUUUGUGAAUGGAUGUGAAGCUUGAAAGUGGUGCCACCUCAACCAAGUUGAUGAUGGAGAUCUAAAGGGUCUUUGGCGCUGCAUCUUUUAACUGUUGGUGAUUCUUUGUUUAAUUGGUGAAGCCAAGUUUGUUUGCACGAUUUGGGGAACACAAUGUGAUCUUGUAGAUGUCUCCCCAUGAAACUCUACCCCCA
RNAcentral lists this long non-coding RNA (200 nucleotides) under Vigna radiata. Its description in RNAcentral is "long non-coding RNA (VRAD_LNC010309)". Lineage: Eukaryota; Viridiplantae; Streptophyta; Magnoliopsida; Fabales; Fabaceae. The record is from RNAcentral.